Molecule: long non-coding RNA, 589 nt
Organism: Serinus canaria (Common canary)
Lineage: Eukaryota; Metazoa; Chordata; Aves; Passeriformes; Fringillidae
Exons: 2
Source: RefSeq, a predicted model, not a curated record
CUGGUGGUCACUGAUGGUCACUGGUGGUCACUGGUGCUCACUGGUCACUCCUGGUCAUUCAUGGUCACUGGUGCUCACUGGUCACUGGUGGUCACUUGAGGUUUCUGAUGGCCACUGGUCACCAAUGGUCACUGGUGGUCAAUGGUCACUCAUGGUCAUUCAUGGUCACUGGUGGUCACUGGUCACUGGUGGAUGCUGGUGGUCACUGGUCACCGGUGGUCACUGGUGGUCACUGGUCACUGGUGGUUACUGGUCACUGGUCACUCCUGGUCAAUGCUCACUGGUGGUCACUGGUGGUCAUUCCCAGUCACAGGUGGUCACUGGUGGUCACUGGUGGUCAAUGGUCACUCCUGCUCAAUGCUCACAGUUGGUCACUGGUGGUCACUGGUGGUCACUGGUGGUCACUGGUCACUGGUCGUUGGUCACUGUUGGUCACUGGUGGUCACUGCUGGUCACUGCUGGUCACUGGUGGUCACUGUUGGUCACUCCCGGUCCUUGGUGGUCACUCCUGGUCACUUGUGGUCACUGGUGGUCACUGGUCACUGUUGGUCAUUGGUCACUCCUGAUCAUUUGCAGUCACUCCUGGUUA